RNAcentral lists this ribosomal RNA (484 nucleotides) under uncultured bacterium. Its description in RNAcentral is "partial 16S ribosomal RNA". It matches the Rfam family "Bacterial small subunit ribosomal RNA", at positions 28 to 523 of the family's 1533-position model. The record is from RNAcentral.
GACGAACGCUGGCGGCGUGCUUAACACAUGCAAGUCGAACGAUGAAGCCGGAGCUUGCUCUGGUGAAUUAGUGGCGAACGGGUGAGUAACACGUGAGUAACCUGCCCUUGACUCUGGGAUAACUGCUAGAAAUGGUAGCUAAUACCGGAUACGACCCUCGGAGGCAUCUCCAGGGGGUGGAAAGAAUUUCGGUCAAGGAUGGACUCGCGGCCUAUCAGCUAGUUGGUGAGGUAACGGCGCACCAAGGCGACGACGGGUAGCCGGCCUGAGAGGGUGACCGGCCACACUGGGACUGAGACACGGCCCAGGCUCCUACGGGAGGCAGCAGUGGGGAAUAUUGCACAAUGGGCGCAAGCCUGAUGCAGCAACGCCGCGUGAGGGAUGACGGCCUUCGGGUUGUAAACCUCUUUUAGUAGGGAAGAAGCGAAAGUGACGGUACCUGCAGAAAAAGCACCGGCUAUCUACGUGCCAGCAGCCGCAGUAA